RNAcentral lists this unclassified non-coding RNA (793 nucleotides) under Hevea brasiliensis (rubber tree). Lineage: Eukaryota; Viridiplantae; Streptophyta; Magnoliopsida; Malpighiales; Euphorbiaceae. The record is from RNAcentral.
AAGUGAUGUUUAUAGCUUCGGAGUGAUCAUGUUGGAGUUAAUAACUGGUAGAAAGCCUAUAGAACAUGGAAGAUAUAUUGUGACAAUGGUCAAGAUGGCAAUGGAUAAGACAAAACAUUUAUACAAUCUUCAGCAUCUGAUCCUUGAUCCAACCAUUGCUUUCAGCAGCACACUAAAAGGUUUAGAAAAGUUUGUCGAUCUAGCAAUUAGGUGCGUUGAAGAAUUAAGAGUCAACAGGCCUACAAUGACAGAGGUGGUCAAGGAGAUUGAGAACAUACUGCAACAGGCUUGUCUGCACAGUGAUGUUGAAUUGGUAUCUAAUUCAAACAGUCAAGAUGUAUCAAGUGGAAGCAGUUUCUACAGCCCAAUUAUAAAUAAGGACCAGGAGUAUAGUAGUGGAAGUUUUCCAUAUUCUGAGAUAGAGCUUAAAUGACAAGAUUGUUUUACAUUUGGUAAUAGUAGUAAUUUACUGCUGCAUGAGGCUUGUAUUAGGGUAGUGAUGAUUUCCAUGUGGUUCAGGGAAGCUUUUCUUUAUCAUUGGAAUGAUGAGAAAAGAUUCCCUUGCCGUUUGAAACAUUAUACAUGAACACCUCUUGAACAACAAAUAAUAAGCCUUUUCUUCUCUUAUCUUCUUGCUUGUUAUCUUAAUUCUAGUAAAAAUUGAAAGCAAUGCUUGAUUUCUUUUAAAUACAGUUGUUUAUGGUAGGAUAGAAAGCAACAUCAUUGUCCAUAUAUUGGCUGCGGUUUUGCUCCUUGAACUUAUUAUCAGAUAUAAAGAAGAACCAUGAAGAAG